RNAcentral lists this ribosomal RNA (305 nucleotides) under uncultured bacterium. RNAcentral describes it as "bacterial SSU rRNA". It matches the Rfam family "Bacterial small subunit ribosomal RNA", at positions 335 to 658 of the family's 1533-position model. The record is from RNAcentral.
UUGCCUACGGGAGGCAGCAGUGGGGAAUAUUGCGCAAUGGGCGAAAGCCUGACGCAGCGACGCGCGUGAGGGAUGAAGGUUUUCGGAUCGUAAAGCUCUAUCAGCAGGGAAGAGAAUGACGGUACCUGACUAAGAAGCCCCGGCUAACUACGUGCCAGCAGCCGCGGUAAUACGUAGGGGGCGAGCGUUAUCCGGAUUUACUGGGUGUAAAGGGAGCGUAGACGGUUCUGCAAGUCUGAAGUGAAAGCACGUGGCUUAACCGCGGAACGGCUUUGGAAACUGUGGAACUGGAGUGCUGGAGAGGC